Psammomys obesus (fat sand rat) is the source of this 637-nucleotide long non-coding RNA. RefSeq lists it as uncharacterized. The transcript is spliced from 2 exons. The record is from RefSeq and is a predicted model, not a curated record. NCBI's taxonomy places the organism in Eukaryota, Metazoa, Chordata, Mammalia, Rodentia, Muridae.
CCAUCACUCUUCAUCAAAAAGGAAGCAUCUCUCUAAAGCCAAUGGAGACCACGACUGGACACAAUGCAGAGAUCAAUGGAUUAUGGCACACCCAACCCCAGUGAAUAUGCCUGCAACACAGCUCAAGCACCUGUGGCUCAGGGAACAUCACGGAAGAGGCCUGGGAAGACUGUAAGAGCCAGUGGACCAGGAAGUCUAAAGUACGCUGUGCAACAUAAUAAGCCAGAAGGGGGGAAAGCUCACAGGUCCCCACCCCUAGACAAGGAACAACAGGCAGCUAAUGACUGCUAAGAGAACGAGAAUUAGCCUCUCCCAGGGCGAGCUCCCUGACUGGUCAUCCUGAAACCAUAUACACACGACGGAAGCAGGCACAGCAGGAUAACCUAGGAGAGGAGGACUUGCUUGAUUGCUUUGAGACGAGAAGCCCUGUGCUGUAUGUGAUGCCAUUCCCUUGGCUGAGAUGUUGGACCACGUAAAGCGGAGAAUGAGAGCCACGCAGGAUGCCUGCAUCCAUUGCCCUCUCCUGUUGACUAUCGACGUCGUGUGACCAGCUGCUUCAAGCUCCUACUUCCUCCAGUUUCCACCAUGAUGGACUGUAUCUCGACCUGUGAGCCAAAAUAAACAUGGUUUCCCUUAA